Molecule: non-coding RNA, 72 nt
Organism: Hypoxylon cercidicola
Lineage: Eukaryota; Fungi; Ascomycota; Sordariomycetes; Xylariales; Hypoxylaceae
Source: the annotation of a GenBank genome assembly
AGCUUCAUGGCGCAGUGGAAGCGCGCCGGGCUCAUAACCCGGAGGUCCUCCGAUCGAAACGGAGUGAAGCUA